RNAcentral lists this ribosomal RNA (447 nucleotides) under uncultured bacterium. Its description in RNAcentral is "bacterial SSU rRNA". It matches the Rfam family "Bacterial small subunit ribosomal RNA", at positions 355 to 825 of the family's 1533-position model. The record is from RNAcentral.
UGGGGAAUAUUGGACAAUGGGCGCAAGCCUGAUCCAGCCAUGCCGCGUGAGUGACGAAGGUCUUCGGAUUGUAAAGCUCUUUUACCAGGGACGAUAAUGACGGUACCUGGAGAAUAAGCCCCGGCUAACUUCGUGCCAGCAGCCGCGGUAAUACGAAGGGGGCUAGCGUUGUUCGGAAUUACUGGGCGUAAAGCGCACGUAGGCGGAUUUGUAAGUCAGGGGUGAAAUCCCGGGGCUCAACCUCGGAACUGCCUUUGAUACUGCAAGUCUCGAGUCCGAUAGAGGUGAGUGGAAUUCCUAGUGUAGAGGUGAAAUUCGUAGAUAUUAGGAAGAACACCAGUGGCGAAGGCGGCUCACUGGAUCGGUACUGACGCUGAGGUGCGAAAGCGUGGGGAGCAAACAGGAUUAGAUACCCGAGUAGUCCCUGAGCGGGCUGGCAAGGCGCAU